This 483-nucleotide ribosomal RNA is filed under the name uncultured bacterium. RNAcentral describes it as "bacterial SSU rRNA". It matches the Rfam family "Bacterial small subunit ribosomal RNA", at positions 30 to 507 of the family's 1533-position model. The record is from RNAcentral.
AUUGAACGCUGGCGGAAUGCUUUACACAUGCAAGUCGAACGGCAGCACGGGGCAACCCUGGUGGCGAGUGGCGAACGGGUGAGUAACACAUCGGAACGUGCCCAAUCGUGGGGGAUAACGUAGCGAAAGCUACGCUAAUACCGCAUACGAUCUACGGAUGAAAGCGGGGGAUCGCAAGACCUCGCGCGAAUGGAGCGGCCGAUGGCAGAUUAGGUAGUUGGUGGGGUAAAGGCUCACCAAGCCAACGAUCUGUAGCUGGUCUGAGAGGACGACCAGCCACACUGGGACUGAGACACGGCCCAGACUCCUACGGGAGGCAGCAGUGGGGAAUUUUGGACAAUGGGCGAAAGCCUGAUCCAGCCAUUCCGCGUGCAGGAUGAAGGCCUUCGGGUUGUAAACUGCUUUUGGACGGAACGAAAAGCCAUUUUCUAAUACAGGGUGGUCAUGACGGUACCGUCAGAAUAAGCACCGGCUAACUACGUG